GGGAUGUUAGUAAAACAAUUACAUGGUCUUGUCAAGACCAAAUUACAGGUGAAAACCCAGUACAUCCCAGCAUUAAA
This 77-nucleotide transfer RNA is filed under the name Rhamphocharis crassirostris piperata. RNAcentral's name for it is "tRNA-Asp". The record is from RNAcentral. Lineage: Eukaryota; Metazoa; Chordata; Aves; Passeriformes; Melanocharitidae.